RNAcentral lists this ribosomal RNA (468 nucleotides) under uncultured bacterium. RNAcentral describes it as "partial 16S ribosomal RNA". It matches the Rfam family "Bacterial small subunit ribosomal RNA", at positions 28 to 507 of the family's 1533-position model. The record is from RNAcentral.
GACGAACGCUGGCGGCGUGCUUAAUACAUGCAAGUCGAACGGAAAGGCCCUGCUUUUGUUGGUUUCUCGAUUGGCGAACGGGUGAGUAACACGUGAGUAACCUGCCCCUGACUUUGUGAUAACUUCAGGAAAAUGGGGCUAAUACCGGAUAGGAUCUUCUGCUGCAUAGUGGUGGUUGGAAAGUUUCGGCGGUUCGGGAUAGACUCGCGGCUUAUCAGCUUGUUUGUGGGGUAGUUGCGUACCAAGGCUUUGACGGGUAGCCGGCCUGAGAGGGUGAACGGCCACAUUGCGACUGAGAUACGGACCAGAAUGCUACGUGAGGCAGCAGUGGGGAAUAUUGCACAAUGAGCCGAAGUCUGAUGCAGAGACGCCGCGUGCGGGAUGACGGCCUUCGGGUUGUAAACAGAUUUCGAAUGUGACGAAGAGUGAGUGACGGUAAUGGGUAAGGAAGCACCGGCUAACUACGUG